RNAcentral lists this ribosomal RNA (253 nucleotides) under uncultured bacterium. RNAcentral describes it as "partial 16S ribosomal RNA". It matches the Rfam family "Bacterial small subunit ribosomal RNA", at positions 524 to 776 of the family's 1533-position model. The record is from RNAcentral.
UACAGAGGCCUCAAGCGUUGUUCGGAUUCAUUGGGCGUAAAGGGCGCGUAGGCGGCAUGGCAAGUCAGGAGUGAAAGGCCUGGGCUCAACCGAGGAACUGCUUUUGAUACUGCCAAGCUAGAGUGCGGAAGGGGCAACUGGAAUUCCCAGUGUAGCGGUGAAAUGCGUAGAUAUUGGGAAGAACACCUGAGGCGAAGGCGGGUUGCUGGGCCGACACUGACGCUGAGGCGCGAAAGCCAGGGGAGCAAACGGG